GGAACUGCCUUUGACAACGAGACACAGAAGUGAUGAGAUGUUUUCACAGUUACCAUACUGACGACUCCCAUCCUGGUUGCAUAGAAGAAUCACCCCCUACGCUUGCUAAAAAUCCAGGUUCCCAGGUCAAGUGAACAGGAUCAGAUUCUCAGGCAGAUGAGACACCACUGAGCUACAUUCCUGGCCCCCGAGCUGAUUGUUUGAACUAGGGAGACUUCAGCUGCAGAUGGCUUCACAGUGCUGUUUCCAAGUGACCAGGUUGACCGUUGCCUCCCCAAAAGCCACAGUGACUUCCAGGAUGGUGGCACCAGGAGCCUCAGCCCGUGCUGCUGCCACCACCACCAAGGUGACACUUAGAGCAACGAGUACUUCACAGGACACCCAAACGGCAGCGCCCACGAUGACCACAACCCACGGCCCCACUAAUAACCACUGUUCAUUCAUAAGAAAACAGAGACUCGACAUUUCUUCCUGGCAGCAUGGUGGUGGUGCUGCAUUGGCACUGGGAGUUUCGUCUACACUGGAUGCAAAGGGUCUGGCUCAAGAAGAGGCAUUCAGCAUAGAACCACGGAAGAACUUGAGGCCGUCACUUAAGGAACUGUAAGAACCAAGGAGAGAAGGGACUCUGAACACUUACAAGACGUGCCCAGAAACACACGACAUGCGUGUGUAAUAUGCACACACACGCGCCUUUGCGAAGUCUCUCUGCCGCUUCUCUUCCGUGGCUGGGGGUGAACCCAGGGGUCUGCACACCACCCAGCUCAGCUCCACAGCGUGCCCAGCCGCCCUCUGCUGAACACAGA
Fukomys damarensis (Damara mole-rat) is the source of this 803-nucleotide long non-coding RNA. RefSeq lists it as uncharacterized. The transcript is spliced from 4 exons. NCBI's taxonomy places the organism in Eukaryota, Metazoa, Chordata, Mammalia, Rodentia, Bathyergidae. The record is from RefSeq and is a predicted model, not a curated record.